GACGAACGCUGGCGGCGUGCUUAACACAUGCAAGUCGAACGGAAAGGCCCUGCUUUUGUGGGGUGCUCGAGUGGCGAACGGGUGAGUAACACGUGAGUAACCUGCCCUUGACUUUGGGAUAACUUCAGGAAACUGGGGCUAAUACCGGAUAGGAGCUCCUGCUGCAUGGUGGGGGUUGGAAAGUUUCGGCGGUUGGGGAUGGACUCGCGGCUUAUCAGCUUGUUGGUGGGGUAGUGGCUUACCAAGGCUUUGACGGGUAGCCGGCCUGAGAGGGUGACCGGGCACAUUGGGCCUGAGAUACGGCCCAGACUCCUACGGGAGGCAGCAGUGGGGAAUAUUGCACAAUGGGCGGAAGCCUGAUGCAGCAACGCCGCGUGCGGGAUGACGGCCUUCGGGGUGUAAACCGCUUUCGCCUGUGACGAAGCGUGAGUGACGGUAAUGGGUAAAGAAGCACCGGCUAACUACGUG
This 468-nucleotide ribosomal RNA is filed under the name uncultured bacterium. RNAcentral describes it as "partial 16S ribosomal RNA". It matches the Rfam family "Bacterial small subunit ribosomal RNA", at positions 28 to 507 of the family's 1533-position model. The record is from RNAcentral.